This 1059-nucleotide long non-coding RNA is filed under the name Glycine max (soybean). RNAcentral describes it as "long non-coding RNA (GMAX_LNC001130)". The record is from RNAcentral. Lineage: Eukaryota; Viridiplantae; Streptophyta; Magnoliopsida; Fabales; Fabaceae.
UUAGUCCAUAAAUGAGCGAGAACCACACGGGAACCACCAUAGUAGAGAAAGAGAAAUUGACGGACAAGAAAGACAUAAAGGGUCUAAUAAAGCCAAUUUCCAACUCACCAACCAUGAAAAGCUGUAAAUUAAAUUUCUGCACAUAACCAAUAGGCACGAAACGUAAAGCUCUUGCUUUAGUCUCCCACUUUAAUUUAUUGUGCAAAGUCGCAGUAGGUGCAAUGCUUGCUUUAUUGGGAGCGGAGAAAUUCCAAACCACUAGAGGAAGGCAAGCACAAACAAUUUAUCUAACAAACACAUCACAUCUCCUUUUCUUUUUCUUUUUGUUUUCCUUUCAUUUCUUUUUCUAUUCAUUAAUCACCAACAUUCAAAUUAAACCCAAGAAUACAGGGGGAAAAAACAGUUCCAAACAGUAACAUACGGUGCAGUGAACCGAAAUUAACAAGACAGUACGUAUAAGCCAAAACACAAAAUAAACAUCAAGACAAUCAUCUCUCAAGAACCGAUCCAAAAAAAAAAAAACAAAGAAGCUGCUACAUCGAUAAAACGAAAGCAACAAAGUCGGUCACGUGAGUAGUGAUCCAUGUCACCAUGCAACUUUGAUGAUGUAGCAGCCAAAAAUAUGCAGAAGGUUCGGUUCAUGUGAGAUAUUAAGUCUGAUGCGACCACAAAGUUGGUUGUUGAGGAUCUCGAGAACCUUCUGAUCUGCGGUUAGUAUUUGGUGGAGGAGAAGCGGGUGGUGAAGUGGUUGGUGCGUUUGGUGUGGCUGUUACUGCAGCUGAAGGAGGUAAUGUAGUGGUGGUGGUUCAGCUGCAUGCAUGAGGUUGUUCAGUGCAAGCUUGCCACGUUUCAGCAUGAGAUGGAACUACGCCAUUAUUUUGCUCUUGGCUAUGCCCUUUCUCAACAUGAAGAACAACAUGCGUACCAUGUUCCAUACCUUCUUUGCCACCACCAUCAGUAGUGCUUGUUUUCUUUGAGAAUCAGAAUUUGUAUGCAACGGGAGAGGGGGUUAGGACCUAUUUAAAGGAGUCUAUGCAAGUGCAACACGGUUCUAUUAUU